GACAACAUUCUACAUAAUGUAACAAAGAAGUCUGAAAAUGUGAAUCAUCUGCAAACUAUGCAUUCAUCUUGCAGACCUUCACUCUGAGAGAUAUUUUUCCCUAAAUCGAUUUGAUGUUCUCUAUCACCAAGGUCAGUGUUAUAUCUCUUACUGUACUUUUCUCCGUGUU
This 169-nucleotide long non-coding RNA is filed under the name Anas platyrhynchos platyrhynchos (common mallard). RNAcentral describes it as "lncRNA (ENSAPLG00000024699.1)". The record is from RNAcentral. Lineage: Eukaryota; Metazoa; Chordata; Aves; Anseriformes; Anatidae.